AAGUCGUAACAAGGUUUCCGUAGGUGAACCUGCGGAAGGAUCAUUAUUGAAUACUCUUGAUGGGUUGUAGCUGGCUCUUUGGAGCAUGUGCACGCCUGUCUUGACCUUAUUUCAUCCACCUGUGCACUUUUUGUAGUCUUGGGGUUGAGUGCAGUCAACUGUCGGACGGCCAUUAUGGUCUAUCCGGAUGUGAGGAAUGCUGAGUGCGAAAGCAUGCAGCUCUCUUCAAAAUGACUUGCAGAACCUCUCCCUCAAGUACUAUGUAUUUCAUAUACCUAGUAUGUUGUAGAAUGUGAUCAAUGGGCCUUGUGCCUAUAAUAAUCAUAUACAACUUUCAGCAACGGAUCUCUUGGCUCUC
RNAcentral lists this unclassified non-coding RNA (358 nucleotides) under fungal sp. RNAcentral describes it as "partial internal transcribed spacer region". The stretch from base 1 to 46 matches the Rfam family "Eukaryotic small subunit ribosomal RNA", at positions 1786 to 1831 of the family's 1831-position model. The record is from RNAcentral. Lineage: Eukaryota; Fungi.